RNAcentral lists this ribosomal RNA (424 nucleotides) under uncultured rumen bacterium. RNAcentral's name for it is "bacterial SSU rRNA". It matches the Rfam family "Bacterial small subunit ribosomal RNA", at positions 354 to 776 of the family's 1533-position model. The record is from RNAcentral.
GUGAGGAAUAUUGGUCAAUGGACGGUAGUCUGAACCAGCCAAGUCGCGUGCGGGAAGAAGGCCCUCCGGGUCGUAAACCGCUUUAGCCGGGGAGUAACGUGCGGGACGUGUCCCGCAGUGAGAGUACCCGGAGAAUAAGCAUCGGCUAACUCCGUGCCAGCAGCCGCGGUAAUACGGAGGAUGCGAGCGUUAUCCGGAUUUAUUGGGUUUAAAGGGUGCGCAGGCGGCAGGUCAAGUCAGCGGUAAAAUCUCGGCGCUCAACGCCGUUCGGCCGUUGAAACUGUCCGGCUCGAGUGCGUGGGAGGAUGGCGGAAUGCGCGGUGUAGCGGUGAAAUGCAUAGAUAUCGCGCAGAACCCCGAUUGCGAAGGCAGCUGUCCACCACGCCACUGACGCUCAUGCACGAAAGCGUGGGUAUCGAACAGG